This 2143-nucleotide long non-coding RNA is filed under the name Chinchilla lanigera (long-tailed chinchilla). RNAcentral describes it as "lncRNA (ENSCLAG00000028396.1)". Lineage: Eukaryota; Metazoa; Chordata; Mammalia; Rodentia; Chinchillidae. The record is from RNAcentral.
GACAAGAGGAGGGAUCUGGCUGAGAUGUUUAGCAACCAGAUACAGAAGUGUGAUACUGAAGCCAUCAUCUUAUACAGUGCAAGUCAUCCUGGAAGGCUAAGGCCAGGGGAGUCGUGCAAAUGGGCAAAGUCGGGCUAAGAAUUAAAGGCCGGCUUCUUCUCCUUUUAUUUAGUGCCCUUCCUCAUAGCAGCAUGAGGGCGCCAUUUCUAGGAAUGUUAAAUUUCCUUCCAGAAAGCAAAGUGAGGUUUUCUAAUUAUCAAGUAGAGAGAUCCAUCCUUUUGCUAUGAAGUUCCCGAAGCUGGGAUGAAUUUUAAAGACAUCAUUUAUUAUACUGAUGCACAGAAAUAAAAAAUGUAUUUGCAGGUAUAAGUAAUGAAGGAUUGAGACGAGAAGGUAUUGGAUUCAUGUGGGCCCUAAAUCCAGUAGGUGGCCUUUGUGUAAGGAGACUGUAGUGCCCAGAAAGAAGAAGGGAGACACAGAGGAGAGGGCACAGAAAGGGACAGGGAGAGGAGGGUAAACAAAGCAGGGCACACAGGCAGAGGUUACCAGGGAUGUCUCCACGAGCCAAGCAAUGCCAGCAAUUUAGGUGACCGCCAGAGGCUGGGACAGAGGCCCGGAACAGAUGAUCCUCACAGCCCUCAGAAGGAGCCCGCCCUGCUGACACUUCACUUCAGACUUCUGGCCCCGUGCAGGGUGAAAGAAUACAUUUCUAUUGUUUUCAGCCACCUACUGUGUGUGGGCAGCCACAGAAAACUAACACAGAAGAUUAAAAAAAAAGAUCAGUUGGGUAAGAUUUGGAUGGGAGGCAGCAUGAGUGGCCGCAGAUGGAGACAUUCCAGAGAGGUUUGAGAAUGAAAAGGAAGAACAAAAGUAGAAAUCAUGAGUGUGCUCCUGCCCUGACCCAGCUGUCUCUGACAUGGCAAUCCAUGCUGUGUGAGAAGGUUCCAGGGAAGACGGAUGCCCUGGGGCACCUGCCGGCCUCAGGUUUGUCUGGAUCCACAGAGGAGAGGGACUCCCAGUCCUUGGCCUUCUCCUCAGGAACACAUGAGUCUGGCUGGGCACAAGACCAAGAGGCAUUUGGCUCUGCUCACGCCACUAAUGUGACACAGGAACACUUAGGAACAAUGGACCCUGAAGUUAGGCUGCCUCCAAGGGUCAGAACUCUUUCUACAAACUUCUAUAAACAGGCACAAAGAGUUUCCAUCCAGUCACUGGUAGACUUGAAAGUUGUUUUUAUGCGAUUCCAUGCUAAAUUUUCUCUGAAAAAAAAAAAAAAAAAAAAAAAGAACAAGUACCUCCCCAGAGACUGCUGCUUCCUGUACCACAAUUCCUCUGGAAUGCUAAAGAAGAUAUUAAAGUAAACACCAGGCACGCAUUGGGGUCUAUGACUAAGAAGGUGCUUCAAAAUUUGUGGGGAAAAAUACUACUCAAUAUGUGACAGUUGUGUGGUCAUUCAGGGACAAAUUCCUCAGCCACACACUAGCAUAAACUCCAUAUAAAAAUGAUUCUUAAAAGCUUUCUUAAAGGAUGAGAGGAAAAUAUGGAACAAUUAUUUUUAUGUCUUAGGAAUGGAAAAGUGAGGGCAGUAAAUCAGUAAAACCCUUAUUGAGGUCAGCUUAUCAAUAAUUACAAUGAAUGGCUAAUCAUUGCUAGGAAAUUAUACUUUGAUGAAUUUAUACUAUAAAUAUACUCACAUAUAUAUGGAGUCAUUGGCAAUUGCAAUUGUAAAAGUAACUUAAAUUUACACCACAAGGAAACAGCUUAUGGUAUAUUCAUACAAUAGAACUCCUUCAAUGCUUUUAAAAAGAGAAAAAGAAAUGAGAAAGCUUUUUAUGUACUACCUGGAAAUGUCUCUAAGUUAAUUAAGGAAAAAAGCAAAUUACAGGCACUGGGUGUAGUGCGCUACCAUUUGAGGUUCAAAAGUGGGCGGCAGAAGAGAAUGCAUUUUGAAAUGUAUGAAUGUCCUCACCUACACAUAUUUUCAAAAGCUCUGUCAGCUCACAGGAAAUCACUAAGAGGAGGGGUUGGAAUUUGGAAAGUUAUCAUCUUUCACUGUGAUGCUUUCUUCUAUCUUUUGCUUUUUCAAUUGCCCUCUACGUACAGCUUAGCCAAAACAUAGUAAAAAUUAAAACAACUACAUCAG